This 305-nucleotide ribosomal RNA is filed under the name Photobacterium phosphoreum. RNAcentral's name for it is "partial 16S ribosomal RNA". It matches the Rfam family "Bacterial small subunit ribosomal RNA", at positions 1 to 299 of the family's 1533-position model. Lineage: Bacteria; Pseudomonadati; Pseudomonadota; Gammaproteobacteria; Vibrionales; Vibrionaceae. The record is from RNAcentral.
UUAAUUGAAGAGUUUGAUCAUGGCUCAGAUUGAACGCUGGCGGCAGGCCUAACACAUGCAAGUCGAGCGGUAACAGAAAGAAAGCUUGCUUUCUUUGCUGACGAGCGGCGGACGGGUGAGUAAUGCCUGGGAAUAUACCCUGAUGUGGGGGAUAACUAUUGGAAACGAUAGCUAAUACCGCAUAAUCUCUUCGGAGCAAAGAGGGGGACCUUCGGGCCUCUCGCGUCAGGAUUAGCCCAGGUGGGAUUAGCUAGUUGGUGGGGUAAUGGCUCACCAAGGCGACGAUCCCUAGCUGGUCUGAGAGG